UACAGAGGAUGCAAGCGUUAUCCGGAAUGAUUGGGCGUAAAGCGUCUGUAGGUGGCUUUUUAAGUCCGCCGUCAAAUCCCAGGGCUCAACUCUGGACAGGCGGUGGAAACUACCAAGCUGGAGUACGGUAGGGGCAGAUGGAACUUCCGGUGGAGCGGUGAAAUGCGUAGAUAUCGGAAGGAACGCCGGUGGCGAAAGCGAUCUGCUGGACCCUUUCUGACGCUGAGGCGCGAAAGCGUGGGGAGCAAGACGG
This 253-nucleotide ribosomal RNA is filed under the name uncultured bacterium. RNAcentral's name for it is "partial 16S ribosomal RNA". It matches the Rfam family "Bacterial small subunit ribosomal RNA", at positions 524 to 776 of the family's 1533-position model. The record is from RNAcentral.